UUGGUGUGUGGUCCCAUGAAGGAGCAUAGUCACCUGAUGCCAUGAGAGAGAGAGAGGAAGGGAGAGGUGGCCUUUGAAUGUGACAUCGUACAAUUAUUCUAUAGGCGAUGCCGAUAAUUGGUCAUGAUCAUGAGCUAAGGCUUUAGUGAUUGUGGAGAACAAGUUGAGAACACUAUUUGGAAGAACUAUGCUAAUAUAUUGGAGUCAGAGCUAAUUGGUUCAAAGCAAAGAAACUGAAUACUCUGCUGGAGCAUAUUGUGUUGGCUCCUCAAACCGAAAAACUAUCACAAGGCUCCACUGCAUCUGCAUCUGCAUCUGCAUAUAAAUGUUGUGUGAUGUAGGAAAACAGAUGUGGGCAUAUGGUAAAAGAUAUGGAUUGCAAUUUUCUUUAUUUUUUAGCUUAGAACCUAUAAUUUCUUCCUAUUAAUGAUCUGACAGAUGCAUUUUACAGGCUUAAUUAGGGUUCUUACACUGUAGCUAGUUUUAUCUGUAGGAUUGGUGUGCAUGUGGUAUUUUAAGCUAUAUUAACCUUUAGGAAGAAGUAUAAGAAAGGACUCUUUCAUAUGCCUUCUUUUCUGGAUUCAUCUGAGUUAUUUAUAUCAGAAUCUCUUUUGGCAUAAAAUUCCUUUUAGUCUUCUAGAGUAUUUGAUAAUCCUUAGAUCCUUCUAUUAUCAUGUUCAGCCUUAACCUAGCAUUACUUAAUGUCAUUAGGGUACUUAAUAAUUUAAGAAGUACCCUUGUUGGACUGAUGUGAAUGGUCAUGAUAUGGAAUGUGUUUCUACUGCCCG
This 788-nucleotide unclassified non-coding RNA is filed under the name Hevea brasiliensis (rubber tree). Lineage: Eukaryota; Viridiplantae; Streptophyta; Magnoliopsida; Malpighiales; Euphorbiaceae. The record is from RNAcentral.